UGUAGCUAAUACCGCGUAAUAUCNANAGAUUAAAGUGUGGGACCUUCNGGCCACAUGCCAUAAGAUGAGCCCAAGUGGGAUUAGGUAGUUGGUGAGGUAAAGGCUCACCAAGCCGACGAUCUCUAGCUGGUCUGAGGGGAUGACCAGCCACACUGGGACUGAGACACGGCCCAGACUCCUACGGGAGGCAGCAGUGGGGAAUAUUGCGCAAUGGGGGCAACCCUGACGCANCCAUGCCGCGUGAAUGAAGAAGGCCUUCGGGUUGUAAAGUUCUUUCGGUAGCGAGGAAGGCAUUUAGUUUAAUAGACUAGAUGAUUGACGUUAACUACAGAAGAAGCACCGGCUAACUCCGUGCCAGCAGCCGCGGUAAUACGGAGGGUGCGAGCGUUAAUCGGAAUAACUGGGCGUAAAGGGCACGCANGCGGNGACUUAAGUUGAGGUGUGAAAGCCCCGGGCUUAACCUGGGAAUUGCAUUUCAUACUGNGUCGCUANANUACUUUANGGAGGGGGUANAAUUCC
Molecule: ribosomal RNA, 519 nt
Filed under: uncultured bacterium
Lineage: Bacteria
Description: partial 16S ribosomal RNA
Rfam family: Bacterial small subunit ribosomal RNA
Source: RNAcentral